CUGAUUUUAAUGAAAUCCUACUUUUCUGAAAGAAAAAAAAAAAAAAUUAGCCAGGCAUGGUGGCGGGCGCCUGUAGUCCCAGCUACUUGGGAGGCUGAGGCAGGAGAAUGGCAUGAACCCAGGAGGCGGAGCUUGCAGCAAGCCUAGUUUGCGCCGCUGCACUCCAGCCUGGGCGACAGAACAAGACUCCGUCUCAAAAAAAAAAGGUGGGGUGGGGGGGAGAAAAUGUGGCACAUAUACACCAUGGAAUACUAUGCAGCCAUAAAAAAGGAUGAGUUCAUGUCCCUUGUAGGGACAUGGAUGAAGCUGGAAACCACCAUCUCCAAUUUUAAAGCACUGUCAACCACAUGAUCACAUCUACAGAAGUGAUCGAGCCCACAUCCACCAGUUUGCCUCCUGUGACAUUAUA
RNAcentral lists this long non-coding RNA (409 nucleotides) under Pan troglodytes (chimpanzee). RNAcentral's name for it is "long non-coding RNA NONPTRT015811". Lineage: Eukaryota; Metazoa; Chordata; Mammalia; Primates; Hominidae. The record is from RNAcentral.